This 5425-nucleotide long non-coding RNA is filed under the name Malus domestica (apple). RNAcentral describes it as "long non-coding RNA (MDOM_LNC017825)". The record is from RNAcentral. Lineage: Eukaryota; Viridiplantae; Streptophyta; Magnoliopsida; Rosales; Rosaceae.
GACCGGAAUCUAUCCCUACGUCCCGUAGCGGAAAGGACCACUAGGUAAGUACAAAACCAUUGAACAUAUAUAUAUAUUGAAAAACAACUUCAUAGUAUAAAGUCAUCCAUCAUCUAUACUAUAAAGAGGUGUUUGAAACAUGUUCUAAAUAUCAUAUCGUCAUCCAUCAGAUAUUCUAUAAGAACACGGGUUAUAGGAAAAAUAGUAAUAAUUCAAAGUAGCCUCAGUAAGCAUGUUAUCUCACAAAACGUUUCAUAAAACGUAAUCAUCAAAUCAUGUUUUUCAUGUAUGCAUUUCUACUAUAAAACAUGCAUUUUAGAAGGGGUCCACUCACAGUACUUCGCCGUCGAAAACUCACGCAGCUAGCGAAGACAGAAACGCCACUAUAAUUGCCCCUCACACGACGUCUAACUCGCCGUGGUUUGUCCGGAAAACGCCUCGAAAGCCGCCGGACUCGCCGGAAACUUGCACGCCAGCCAACUCAUUGUGGUUUGGCCGGAAAUUCUCUCGAAAAUCGCCGGAGAUGGGUGUGCCUACACCCGUGGUGGUUUCGUCAUAAAAACCUAACCGGAGAUUGAAAAAUCUCGCCGGAGUCCCUUUUCCGGUUUUCUGGGGUCGCGGGAACGAAAGGGAGAGAGAAAGAGAGAGAGCAGGACGAGAUGGUGAAUGGUGAUGGUUCUUCCUCGCACACUCGUGUGCCUCUGUGCGUGUGUGUGCUUGCGGUGCAGAGAAGGGAGAGAAGUGAGAGCCGAGAGGGAGAGACAGGAAGACAGAAAACGAAAAAGAAGAAGGAAGAAAUGAGGGGUUCACAAGGGGGGACAGAGAGAGAAGUGAGGUAAGUGAAGGGGGUGCUGCCACGUGGCAGCUUGAGGGAGAAAGAAUCCAAGAUCAAAUUUCAGAUUGGGUAGAUAAAAUAGGACCAAAUAGAUAUAUUGAAAACGUUGAGGGGUUAAAUACAUCAAUAUAUUUUAUAAAUAGGGGGUGGGUGUUACAAUCUACCCCCCUUAUAAAAAUUUCGUCCCCGAAAUUUAAAAUCACUUGCUAAACUGAAAAACUCGAAAAUAGUAAGAAGAAUAUAUGUAUAAAGAGAAAUCAAGUCAGAGUGGGUGCAUCAAAGAGAAUAUGCCACACCGUCGCGAACGGGUUGCAAAAUCCUCUAUCAUGCCUCCAAACUCUUACUUUCAUCCCCAUUAGUGUAAAAGUAGAAAACAUACUUUAAUAAGAUAUAAGGUCAAAAACAUAUAUUGACAUAAGGUCAAAAAUAAGUACGCAAAAUACUAUAGCGUCAAAAAUAGAUAUGUACUAACAUAUAGGUCAAAAACUCGAGCUGAAUUUAAAAUUGAAAACAGAAAACACUUUCCUCAAAACAUUUGUAACACCAAAAACAAAUAACCAAAGUAAAUGAAGUUAAAAUACUUAUACUGAAAACCAAAACUGAAAAAAUGAGAGUGGGUCUCGCCCAAGAAUUCGUAACUUCAUGUGCUUCGAGAAAAGAUGUGUCUUUGGGUCGAAUCCCAAGAAUAGCUAAUCUGUAACAAUUGUCGUAGACGGAUCUUCCUGCCCACUUGCUUAACAAACCCAACGAAUAAGUUAUCGAUACAACAGUCGGCCGCCCGUGAUAUCGAUCACAUAUUUGUUGUCUCGAUAAGCAAGCAAUAAUUUCCUGAGGGUGCACAAUUUUUUUUUUCACGUCGUAAAUUCGAUCCUCCGAAUACCAGUUCACAAUACUCAUCUGCUAACCAGUGUUGCAUGUACCAACUCUCGUACCAUGCCACAACAAGUGCCAUACUCAAACCGAACAAAAUAAGAACUGUCCUUGUAAAACUUUAUCCAUCACCAAGCAUCCUAUCCUCCUCAGUUCUUCCAAAUGUGACCAACUACUCCAGUGCUUCACCAGUAAAGAACCCUUUUGAAAAUUGUACAUUGGGAUUCAAGAGAAGUGGCUACCAUGUUAGUAGUAGACCCAAAAGCUCGAACCAAGCAAGCAGAAAAUGAGAAGUCAUCUUCCUCAACACACAGUAUCUCUUGGGAGUUGUUGUAAUGCUCAAUCCACCUCUCCAUUUUUGCUUAGUUGCAGACUUCUAGUCAAACAAGGUCAAAGUUGGUGGAAAGAAGAAGGACUCUCAAGUGAUCAACGUAAAAACCCCAUGAGAGCACACCCCAUUCAAGAGAAGUUUAAAGAUCUUCCGAUUCUCACCUCGACAGCGCGGUGGUGUCAUUCCAGAGUGCACCAAACAGAUCUGCUAUAAGUGUUUCGACAUCCACCUACUCACAACAAUAAGGUUCAGAAGUGAAGCAGUGGAAAUAUGCGUUGAGAUGAACACAUAUCGUUGGAAAAUAACCGAUGUGAUGCCUAUGAAUUCUAGUAAGAUGGUGAUACAAUAUGCUGACCUUCUGCACUAAAACCUUCAAUCAACUCUUACUAAAAGACCGCUUAAACCUCAUGCCCACGUGCUCUCGAACUAAAGGAUCCUGGUGAGAGGUAGUGGGAAAGCUACGUUGAGGUGCGUUGAGGCGAACACAUCACAUCAUCGAAAAGAUCUACCAGAGUACGAUAUGAUGGUGAUGAAUUGCAACAAGAUAAUGAGUGGUGACCAUUCAAUUCAGCAUGAAGAUAGUGAUGCAAUAUGCUAAUCAUCCGCACCACAAUCUUCACCAGUCUCUUACCAAAAGACGACUCAAACUUCACACCCACAAGGAAUUCUUUCUGGUACGCCUGGUAAGUUGUAAAAAGAUUAUGCUCCCAACAUUCCUGUCCAAAACGAUAAGAAUUGGGCGCACACUUCCGCCGAAUCGAUCGAUCGUGAAUUCCUUACUGAUUGAGCGAGAAACCAUGUCGAGAAGGCUAAAAGAACACUCAAGAAUUUGAGAGUCAAAACAAGUCCAUUAAAACUAGAGCACAAGAUAUUGCGAUUUGAAUGAGAAACCACGCCGAGAACAAACGUUUUUUUUUUUGUUCCGGCAUGAUUCAGUUUACAUUGAGAAACAAACUAGCAAAGGAAAAUGAAGAUGCAGAAAUAGAAGUCACUGUUUAUGAUUGUUUGGCUAAUCAUCACAAUAAGGUUGACGGGUUUCUUAGCCAAAAGGAACAGGUCUAAUCUCAAGAAUAGUUAAGAACUGUUAAUAAGAUUUGACGAGGCCAAAGACAUUUCAAAAUUCACAAUACUUUGUGAGAGCUGUUUCAAAGUUCAAAAAUUAAACAUAGAACCUCUGAAUCAACAGAAUGACGAUGAAGAAAGAUACGAAGCAGCCCGCGUAUGCAUGCAGUGACACGAUUGGCUACCUUAAAGUGAUGCCUCUGAGCAAACCAAAGCUCAAUGAGUCCAGAGAAGUUUAGAGUAAGGCUCGAUCUUCAUACAAUGAUGAAUAUGGUAGAGUCUCAAGCCAUUACACUGAAAAUUACAAGGCUAAACAGUUAACGGACAAGAGCACUGGUCAGUUGGGUUACAAGCAAGAGGUUAAGUUUACCUCUACCAAAAGUACGAGGACAAGGGGCAUUUUACCACCGAGUACCAGACCUAGGUGAAAUUCAAGGAAUUUGUUUAUCCAAACAAAUCUGGAUUUUCAUCAUCUAAGUCAAACUACAGCAACAACAAGAAUCGCUACUUCUUUUGGAUUUUGGUGAGAAUAGCGUCUGUUACCAAGAAGUUCCCAAGAAAAAAUUUAAUCUCUAGACGAAGUCAAUUCUUAAAGGAUUUGAUGUGAAGUUAACGAUCAAAGGUUAGUGAACUUGUCUUCGUCAUUGAGUAAACAAGAAGGUAAUCGAUAAAACAAUUGCCGAGAAUUGUUAUAAAGAUUCACCCAAAUUUCUUCGGUGGUAAUGAGUCCGAGAACAUUGAUUUGCUCCCACUAACUACCACCUACUAACUGUUGUCACCACUAGCACUUACUCGCUUACUUAGCACGCAUUUCGAAUAUUUCAAGCAAUUUCCAAGAGAUAUGACUCUGCCCGCCAUUCCUAGGGAACGCAUGUUGCAGAGUGAUAUCAUCGCUUCAGAUCUCCAGUUGGUCUUAACCAAUUCGUACCACCAAGAUUUUUCCGUUUCCCAAGAUUUCAAUGCAAAGCCGACUCUGCUCGCAAUUCCUAGGGAACGCAUGUUGCAGAGUGGCAUCGCCAUUUCGGAUUUACAGCUGGUCUUGACCAGACUUCCUCAAACUGAGAUUUCUAAAACACGCCGCUUCCAGGUAACACCGACUCUACCCGUCAUUCCCAGGGAAUGCACGUCGCAGAGCAUCGAUCUGAAGUUGAAAGUCGUCCAACAAUUCAAACACGUCACCGAUGAGGCACAAUCCCGACACAAAUUCUUCUAUAUCAACCCGAAUGUGACAAUUCAAACAGAGGAAGAUUCGCACGACUGCGCCGAAUGGCACCAAAUCCAGAAGUCCUGACAUCCAAAUGAUGUCAAAACCGACACACUACUUUAGUAAGAGAAGAUCCUAAGUAUGCUCUGAACAAACUAGGCUCUGAUACCAAUCUGACACGCCCCGAUCCCGAUAUCCUUGGGACAUCAGGAUGGUCAUGUGCUGGCCGACACCCGAGGGUGACGAAAGCCAUUUAUUAAGUGCAAUUACUGAAAACAAGGAAUAAUUAAGACUUAUAAAUAUAAAAGAAUAAAUAUGCAUUUAAGGAACGUGUUCAGAGCAUACAACUAACUAGAACACUAAAGGAAAUAAUAUAAAAUUAGAUGAACAAAGGAAUGGAUCCUACAUCGAGAGGACUCGAAGAUACCAAUGCGGAAGUGCCUGGAUUGCCGGGAUUGUACGCCUCGAUCCUAAAUCCUGAAGGGGGCGCAAAACAAACAUGAGUGGACCAAUUUGAUAUAAAUAUAAUAAAACAGUUAUCAACAUACUAACCCCCAGGUUUAUGGAAACACAUAUAUAAUGAUAAACAUAGGUUUUCCGAAACCUAGCAUGAUGUGCAGUAUCUCAAAUCAUAACUCAUAUAUAAUAAUCACUAGUGAAUUGUCCGAUAACCCCCAGGCCCCAUGCCGGCUCCCCGUCUCUGAGCAGACAGUCAGAGGAAAAUACACUACAUGCCCCUUGCCGGCUCCCCAUCCCUGGUCUUAAAUGCCAGAGGAAACACACUCCAGGCCCUAUGCCAACACCAAACCGUUGCCCGGGACGGACCGGAAUCUAUCCCUAUGUCCCGUAGCGGAAAGUACCACUAGGUAAGUACAAAACCAUUGAACAUAUAUAUAUAUUGAAAAACAACUUCAUAGUAUAAAGUCAUCCAUCAUCUAUACUAUAAAGAGGUGUUCGAAACAUGUUCUAAAUAUCAUAUCGUCAUCCAUCAGAUAUUCUAUAAGAACACGGGUUAUAGGAAAAAUAGUAAUAAUUCAAAGUAGCCUCAGUAAGCAUGUUAUCUCACAAAACGUUUCAUAAAACGUAAUCAUCAAAUCAUGUUUUUCAUGUAUGCAUUUCUACU